Long non-coding RNA from Pseudopipra pipra, 1534 nucleotides. RefSeq lists it as uncharacterized. Lineage: Eukaryota; Metazoa; Chordata; Aves; Passeriformes; Pipridae. The record is from RefSeq and is a predicted model, not a curated record. The transcript is spliced from 2 exons.
GUCACUGGGCAGGAAAGAGCACAAGAGAAUGAUGCCAGGGUUAGAUUUCAGCACCAUGCUGCCAGGCGGAGGUGGCCUUUGUGCCUGUGACAAGGAGACCUCUUCUCAUCCACCGUCUCAUCUCAGCGGGGAGUUGGGCUCAAGCUGCUUCCCCUCCCCUCCCUUUUGCCCAAAGUCAGAAUGAAAAAAGAUGAAAAGCUACUUUCCCUCAGCGUGGAGGAGGAGGAGGAGGAGGAGGAGGAAAGCCCCGGCUGCCUGGAUCACCCUGCUGCCCACCGGGCCCCCUCGCAGUCACCUGCAUAGGAAUGCAGGGAUACAGAUCCCCUCGGGAUCCCCUUUAAAGGCUGCCCGGAGCGUGGGGGGGCAUCGGGGGAUCGGCUCUCUCAGACUUCCCGGUUGCCUCUCACGCGGAAAAAAAAAAAAAUCGGCCGCUCGACGAAAAGGAGAAGGUGCCUCUUUGGAGGCAGCUCAUCAAGGCCCUGAUUAGGAACCACAUCAAAACCAAAGUGGCAGCUGAGAAGGGGCUGAAACUCCAGAAGAAACCACUUCCAGUCACAUAUUCCCCCCAACCUGGAAGAGCAGAAGCCCCUGGGAAGGAUGUGCUCUUUGGGAUCACAUUCCCUCCAGGACUGGUCACACCACUUCAGACACCACUAAAAAGCCCCAGAGCAGCACUGCUCGGUCCCAGCUGGAGCACCAGAGAAAUCCUGAGGAUCAGCUACUGCAGAGAGGAAAACCAGCAACAAAAGGCAGGGAAAAGCAGCACCUUCCCUUUUGGAACAUGGACAGUUUUCCAGAACAUUUUCAGGACUGAUUCCAUUUAAAGCCACUAAGCCAGUAAUUUUUAGGGCAUCGAGGGAACAAGAAGCCUCAGAAAGUCCAAGACAUGUUUUGCCUGGACUCUGAAUUCAGGGACACUGAAAAAGCUUGGGAUGCUUGCUGGGAACACCAAAGAGCAGCCAAGGAAAAGAUGCCACGGCAGAGAGGCACAGAAGAUAAAUCCUGGGAAAAACCAGGGGGACAUUUAUGGCAGCAGGAAGAAGCUGUUUGUGCUGGAUUUCUACGGGAAGAGCUGGACAGGCAAAGCUGGGUCUGAUCCCAGGUUUAUCCCACCUGGCACCGGAGGGGACGAGGAAUCAGCUCAGCCCAUCCCUCACAGUCACAUCUUCAGCACACUGGGAUUUGCCAAAAAAGGAGGCAAAGGAAGGCUCUGAUCCCUGUCAGAGCUGGAGUCACCUGUGGGAAUUCUGCUCCACAGGAACCUCUUUGUUCAACGCCGACGUCGGCGGGGGAUGAGCAGAAGAGAUGAGGGAACAAACACCCCUCAGAGCUGGGAAUGGGCCACCUGCCCAGAAACCCAUCCUGGUUAGCCAGGGAAUGGCCAUGGACAGGGGGGGUGGCACAGGAACUGUCACCUGUCAGGGACAGGACCAUGACCCAGGAGAUCAGAGCCCACGGAGUCGGGCCCUCGCCCCCGACGGGUCCUGGAAGAACGAGGCACUUUGUGGGGAUAACAAAAACAAGUGCUGGGAAA